RNAcentral lists this transfer RNA (74 nucleotides) under Patescibacteria group bacterium. Its description in RNAcentral is "tRNA-Trp". It matches the Rfam family "tRNA". Rfam says of the family: Transfer RNA (tRNA) molecules are approximately 80 nucleotides in length. Their secondary structure includes four short double-helical elements and three loops (D, anti-codon, and T loops). Further hydrogen bonds mediate the characteristic L-shaped molecular structure. tRNAs have two regions of fundamental functional importance: the anti-codon, which is responsible for specific mRNA codon recognition, and the 3' end, to which the tRNAs corresponding amino acid is attached (by aminoacyl-tRNA synthetases). tRNAs cope with the degeneracy of the genetic code in two manners: having more than one tRNA (with a specific anti-codon) for a particular amino acid; and 'wobble' base-pairing, i.e. permitting non-standard base-pairing at the 3rd anti-codon position. The record is from RNAcentral.
AGGGGCGUGGUGAAGUGGCAUCACAGGGGUCUCCAAAACCUCUAUCGCGGGUUCGAUUCCUGCCGCCCCUGCCA